CAGGGGUCACCUGAGAAACCCGAAGGUCGAAUGGGGAAAUUCAUUCGCGUUUCGACUAUGGAGUAGAAUGAUUAUUGCGACGGCAUAGUGGAACUUGUUCCGCUGCUGCGCUUUUCGUUCGUCUUGCCGUCGUCGAACGCGUGCACUUUUCCCCUAGUAGGACGUCGCGAUCCGUUGGGUGUUUGUCUAAAAAUCGGAGUGGUGCCCACGAGUCGUUUACGCGUCACGUGGACCUCUGAAUUUUCGACAAACUCGCUCGACGGUAUACUAAAGGCGCGAGGCCGCUAGUAACAGAAUUAGCGUUCGGCCCGUAGCAAGCACGUACCGUUUUGACGGCGAUCGGACCUAGUGCCGAUUCUGUCGCGGGACGACUGUUGGUUUACGGUGUUCUCGAACAGACCUCGUUGAAACGCCAAUCGGCGACGCUAUAGCUUUGGGU
Molecule: ribosomal RNA, 439 nt
Filed under: Walterianella argentinensis
Lineage: Eukaryota; Metazoa; Arthropoda; Insecta; Coleoptera; Chrysomelidae
Description: partial 28S ribosomal RNA
Source: RNAcentral